AAGUCGUAACAAGGUUUCCGUAGGUGAACCUGCGGAAGGAUCAUUAACACGUGUUUACACGUAUUAUCAACCACCGUGAACUUGUUCUCAUAUUGGGCGCGGCUUUCGAGCAAUCGGGGCCGGGACCAUGUCGCACUCUGUGUCAUAGGGCUUGGCAGCGCUCGGCCGCAAGGCUAGGUCUGUCCGGAUUCCGUCACAGAGGUUGGGUCGCGACUAAACCUUUAACUUUAACCCCAUAACAUCGAACUAAUCAAUAGGACUUUUUCGGAAGUCUUUUAUUAAAUCGAACAACUCUUAGCAGUGGAUAUCUCGGCUCUC
RNAcentral lists this unclassified non-coding RNA (318 nucleotides) under fungal sp. RNAcentral's name for it is "partial internal transcribed spacer region". The stretch from base 1 to 46 matches the Rfam family "Eukaryotic small subunit ribosomal RNA", at positions 1786 to 1831 of the family's 1831-position model. RNAcentral also lists the same sequence under 1 other name. The record is from RNAcentral. Lineage: Eukaryota; Fungi.